CCUACGGGAGGCUGCAGUGAGGAAUAUUGGUCAAUGGACGAGAGUCUGAACCAGCUAAGUAGCGUGAAGGAUGACUGCCCUAUGGGUUGUAAACUUCUUUUAUAUGGGAAUAAAAUGUUCCACGUGUGGGAUUUUGUAUGUACCAUAUGAAUAAGGAUCGGCUAACUCCGUGCCAGCAGCCGCGGUAAUACGGAGGAUCCGAGCGUUAUCCGGAUUUAUUGGGUUUAAAGGGAGCGUAGGUGGAUUGUUAAGUCAGUUGUGAAAGUUUGCGGCUCAACCGUAAAAUUGCAGUUGAAACUGGCAGUCUUGAGUACAGUAGAGGUGGGCGGAAUUCGUGGUGUAGCGGUGAAAUGCUUAGAUAUCACGAAGAACUCCGAUUGCGAAGGCAGUUCACUGGACUGCAACUGACACUGAGGCUCGAAAGUGUGGGUAUCAAACAGGAUUAGAUACCCGAGUAGUC
This 460-nucleotide ribosomal RNA is filed under the name uncultured bacterium. Its description in RNAcentral is "partial 16S ribosomal RNA". It matches the Rfam family "Bacterial small subunit ribosomal RNA", at positions 338 to 795 of the family's 1533-position model. The record is from RNAcentral.